GGUAGAGGGGGUUGGCGCACCCCAGAUGGUCCUUAGGCCCAUCUGCACUAGGGUUUCCCCCAUUCCCUCUCUUGUGGCGCCUUGGGCCUAGGUGGGAGGCACACCAGCCCACUCUUGACUGGUUCCCUUCCACCUAUUGGCCCAUGCUAGCCUUUGGGGCUGGUGGCCCCUCCCAGUGGACCCCCGGAACCCUACUGGUGGUCCCGGUACAUUACCGGUGUCGCCUGAUACAAUUCCGGCGACCAAAUCCUCACUUCCUAUAUAUAAUUCUUUACCUCCGGACCAUUCCGAAGCUCCUCGUGACGUCCGGGGUCUCAUCC
Molecule: long non-coding RNA, 320 nt
Filed under: Hordeum vulgare
Lineage: Eukaryota; Viridiplantae; Streptophyta; Magnoliopsida; Poales; Poaceae
Description: long non-coding RNA (HVUL_LNC017938)
Source: RNAcentral